Molecule: ribosomal RNA, 117 nt
Filed under: Loigolactobacillus rennini
Lineage: Bacteria; Bacillati; Bacillota; Bacilli; Lactobacillales; Lactobacillaceae
Source: RNAcentral
UGUGGUGGUUAUAGCAAGCAGGUACCACCUGUUCCCAUGUCGCACACAGUCGUUAAGCUGCUUCGCGCCGAGGGUAGUUGGGGGAGCACCCCCUGCCAGCGUAGGUCGCUGCCACAC